Small nuclear RNA from Lycium barbarum (goji berry), 106 nucleotides. Lineage: Eukaryota; Viridiplantae; Streptophyta; Magnoliopsida; Solanales; Solanaceae. The record is from RefSeq and is a predicted model, not a curated record.
UUAACCUAAGCUAGCAAUGUUGGGCUUGAAGAUCUAGCUCAGAGAAGAUUAGCAUGGCUUGUGCGCAAGAAUAACACGCACAAAUCGAGAAAUGUCUAAAUUUUUU